GAUGAACGCUGGCGGCGUGCCUAAUACAUGCAAGUCGAGCGAACAGAUAAGGAGCUUGCUCCUUUGAAGUUAGCGGCGGACGGGUGAGUAACACGUGGGUAACCUACCUAUAAGACUGGGAUAACUUCGGGAAACCGGAGCUAAUACCGGAUAACAUUUAGAACCGCAUGGUCUAAAGUGAAAGAUGGUUUUGCUAUCACUUAUGGAUGGACCCGCGCCGUAUUAGCUAGUUGGUAAGGUAACGGCUUACCAAGGCGACGAUACGUAGCCGACCUGAGAGGGUGAUCGGCCACACUGGAACUGAGACACGGUCCAGACUCCUACGGGAGGCAGCAGUAGGGAAUCUUCCGCAAUGGGCGAAAGCCUGACGGAGCAACGCCGCGUGAGUGAUGAAGGGUUUCGGCUCGUAAAACUCUGUUAUUAGGGAAGAACAAAUGUGUAAGUAACUGUGCACAUCUUGACGGUACCUAAUCAGAAAGCCACGGCUAACUACGUGCCAGCAGCCGCGGUAAUACGUAGGUGGCAAGCGUUAUCCGGAAUUAUUGGGCGUAAAGCGCGCGUAGGCGGUUUCUUAAGUCUGAUGUGAAAGCCCACGGCUCAACCGUGGAGGGUCAUUGGAAACUGGGAAACUUGAGUGCAGAAGAGGAAAGUGGAAUUCCAUGUGUAGCGGUGAAAUGCGCAGAGAUAUGGAGGAACACCAGUGGCGAAGGCGACUUUCUGGUCUGUAACUGACGCUGAUGUGCGAAAGCGUGGGGAUCAAACAGGAUUAGAUACCCUGGUAGUCCACGCCGUAAACGAUGAGUGCUAAGUGUUAGGGGGUUUCCGCCCCUUAGUGCUGCAGCUAACGCAUUAAGCACUCCGCCUGGGGAGUACGACCGCAAGGUUGAAACUCAAAGGAAUUGACGGGGACCCGCACAAGCGGUGGAGCAUGUGGUUUAAUUCGAAGCAACGCGAAGAACCUUACCAAAUCUUGACAUCCUUUGAAAACUCUAGAGAUAGAGCCUUCCCCUUCGGGGGACAAAGUGACAGGUGGUGCAUGGUUGUCGUCAGCUCGUGUCGUGAGAUGUUGGGUUAAGUCCCGCAACGAGCGCAACCCUUAAGCUUAGUUGCCAUCAUUAAGUUGGGCACUCUAGGUUGACUGCCGGUGACAAACCGGAGGAAGGUGGGGAUGACGUCAAAUCAUCAUGCCCCUUAUGAUUUGGGCUACACACGUGCUACAAUGGACAAUACAAAGGGCAGCUAAACCGCGAGGUCAUGCAAAUCCCAUAAAGUUGUUCUCAGUUCGGAUUGUAGUCUGCAACUCGACUACAUGAAGCUGGAAUCGCUAGUAAUCGUAGAUCAGCAUGCUACGGUGAAUACGUUCCCGGGUCU
Molecule: ribosomal RNA, 1371 nt
Filed under: uncultured bacterium
Lineage: Bacteria
Description: bacterial SSU rRNA
Rfam family: Bacterial small subunit ribosomal RNA
Source: RNAcentral